UAUUCGCAGAAUCUUGCGGAAAAGAAAGCAAGGAGGGCGCAGCAGGAGGUGCCCGCUCUAGGCUUCAAAGGCGAGCUCCAAGAAAGCCCAGCCCCAAACUGGGUUGCCGUGCCUCCCUCCCCCGCCUUGCUCCGCAGUUCCUGACAGGGCUGUUAGGCUUUCCACAGGGAUAAUGGAAAGGUUGGCAAGUUGGGUUUUGGAAGAGAAGUUGGCAUUCAGAGCAAGUUUCUAAAAUCUGCCCAGAACAGUUACCUGCUGGUUGGCGUUGGGGAUGCAAAGUAUGGAUAUCCAUGGGGAAAUGAAGCUUGUUACGGAUGAUCUCCUGAUUUUUUCCAGUAAAUUUGUUGGCACUGUUAAUACUCU
Molecule: long non-coding RNA, 363 nt
Organism: Crotalus tigris (Tiger rattlesnake)
Lineage: Eukaryota; Metazoa; Chordata; Lepidosauria; Squamata; Viperidae
Exons: 3
Source: RefSeq, a predicted model, not a curated record